AUUCAACUGACGACUCCCAAAUAGAACGAAAUGCGCGUCCUGGUU
RNAcentral lists this non-coding RNA (45 nucleotides) under Schistosoma curassoni. Lineage: Eukaryota; Metazoa; Platyhelminthes; Trematoda; Strigeidida; Schistosomatidae. The record is from RNAcentral.